CACUAAGGAACGCAGGCUAAGUACGCCACGUCCUGUGGCAGCGCCUGCAUGGCCCACUUCCUGUGGG
This 67-nucleotide non-coding RNA is filed under the name Bacillus sp. NRRL B-14911. RNAcentral describes it as "Bacillaceae-1 RNA". It matches the Rfam family "Bacillaceae-1 RNA". Lineage: Bacteria; Bacillati; Bacillota; Bacilli; Caryophanales; Bacillaceae. The record is from Rfam by way of RNAcentral.